Molecule: non-coding RNA, 46 nt
Filed under: Trichobilharzia regenti
Lineage: Eukaryota; Metazoa; Platyhelminthes; Trematoda; Strigeidida; Schistosomatidae
Source: RNAcentral
GUACUGUUGAAGAGUCCCAAACUAGGGCGAAACAGCUGUCCAGUAU